CCCCUAGAUGUUCUGGGCCGCACGCGCGCUACACUGAUUCAUGCAACAAGUUUUGUCCUUGGCUGAUAGGCCUGGGUAAUCUUUGAACGUGAAUCGUGAUGGGGAUAGAUGAUUGCAAUUAUUCAUCUUCAACGAGGAAUUCCUAGUAAACGCAAGUCAUCAGCUUGCAUUGAUUACGUCCCUGCCCUUUGUACACACCGCCCGUCGCACCUACCGAUUGAAUGGUCCGGUGAAAUCUCGGGACGGCGGCUCGGUCGCUUGCGUCCGACUGCUGAAACUUGAUUAAACCAUAUCAUUUAGAGGAAGGUGAAGUCGUANCA
This 320-nucleotide ribosomal RNA is filed under the name uncultured eukaryote. RNAcentral describes it as "partial 18S ribosomal RNA". It matches the Rfam family "Eukaryotic small subunit ribosomal RNA", at positions 1470 to 1796 of the family's 1831-position model. The record is from RNAcentral.